GAGAAAUCUCUCCUCCGUUUCUCCUCUCCUUCUUCACUCCCUCUUUUAUCUUUCCCUCUCUUCCGCUCGCCUGCUGUUCCUUACACCAAAACUAACGUUUUGCUUAGCUAUCAGAAAUACAAUCAAACGAAUGAAAAAUCUAAUACUUUUCUUGAAGUAACAGGGUAAACUAACAAUAAUUGUAUUGAUAAUGUUGUUAAUGAUAUUAUUGAAUAUAAUUAUGUUGUUUAACAUUUGGGCUCAUUUUCUUAUUUUUUUUAAUAGUUCAUGUUGUUAUAUAUUUGUAUUGUUGUUAAUUAUUUGCUAGGCCACCAUAUUACAGGAGACUAAAUAGACUAUUUGUUAGGAAGAAAUGUUACUUAAGUACCAAUACUUUUAGGUUGUGUAAUUCAGAUUUCUUCUUAAUUCUUGAUUAUCCAUAUUUUCUGUUUUUGGAGUGCUGUGAAAAAGUAUACUGUAUGUGAAAGGCAUGAUUUGCUGAGUACAUUUUCCAUAUAGUUGACAUCUUAUAGUGAAGGAGAAAGUACUUAUGUGGCAUCAUACUGGUUUGCCGUUUAGAUUUCUUGUUUUGCCUGGCAGUAUGUCGGGAGUAGUGGUGAUCUCAGAUACCGAGCGGGAUGUGCCUUACUGAAUCCACUACAAUCAUAAAGUUAUGAAGACUCCUCCUCCUAUCGGUAGAAAGGGUGUUCAUUCUGUAGACAAUUCCGUUAUUAACUAGUAAUUCAUAAAGUGGUUGUCAUGUUCUCUGAGAAUCCGCUUAGCUGAGAUUUUGCUUUAAACGAGACCCACCCACCUGAAAGGAGGAACAGUUGCAUCAUGGAAGAUGUAGUUUUCUGCUCGUUUCACUCGGGUGCUAGUCAAGAGGCUCUUAUCUCACCCUUUAGCGUUCCAUAAAUCAUUUGAUUUAACAUUUUAAAUCCCAACAUAUCACAAGUCCCCCUUAUAUACCCAAAGGUAAACUAUCAAUUAUAAUUUUUGUAUUGUUUAAAAAAAAAAACUUGGCAUAAAUGCAGUAUUUGCUAAACAUAUGUAUUUCCCCUUGUAUUCCUAUAUGUUGCUGGGAAGUGAUUGAAUGGAGUUGGUUUCAAUUGGACUUGACAGUUGUCUGCUUUUAAGAUCGGGUCUUGAUGGUAUGUUGGAACAUGGUCUGGGAAUGGAGAGACGGACAGCAGGACGUGGUAGUUAUUUCAUUUUGUAUCAGGGCAGUAAGCUGUUGCUGUUGCAUUAGCGAGACACAGUUAUUAGAAGGGGGAUGAGUGGGGAGUGGUGUGCUGUGAACACAGGGAGGAAAGAACGUUUCAGUUGGUUUAUUCAUUUCCUCUCACCCAAUCACUGUGCUGUUACUGUACUGUAUACUGUAUGUCUCUCCUUAAUUCACGUCAAGGACUUGAUCAAACCACUAAUCAUGUUUGACUUACUUAGAAUGUGUUAGAAUUUCUGAGAUAAUUCAGAUAUCACUAAAGGUGGUCACUUGAUAUGGGGGUUGGGGCAAAAAGUCACUAUUUCACUAUUUGUUAGUUUUUUUUCUUUCCUUGUGAAUACCAACACAAAUCAAUCACUUUAUACAGGACACACAAGACAGUCUGGAUGUAACAUUCAGUAAAUCUCAGUAAACUUUCAACGUUUUUCCGAAGAUGAUUAUGUGGCAACUUCCAUCAAUGGCUUGAUACAUAAGUAGGAUAAAAGGACAAUAAUGUUUGUAAAGCUUGAGUACUUGACCAGGGCAUGAUUACCAUUAGCCUAGUAUUAGCAAGAAUCUCUGCAUUAAAAAAUUAAACCUUAUUUGAAUAAUUCUGUCUAUUUCACCCAGAACAACCACUUUUCAGCUAUCAGGGCAAAUAUAUUAUGAAUUUACAAAUGUGAUUGAAGGCACUGGACAGUAUUUUCCUUUUGGAAAAUAGUCCUCACAACUGUCCUGGAAGGUACUUGGUGGAAGGUGGAGAAAAGCUAACCGAUGCCAUGAUUAAAAUGAAGGAAAAAAUCGUUGAAUCUCCACAUAGUGUGGAAAGUAACGUUUUCCCCCCUAUUCUAUAAGCAUUGAGUCCAGUGGUUUGUUUAUCAUGCCUUUGCCAAUGUCUCUGGGUCGCUUCCAUCAAUGACAACCUCAUGUCCAUAUGGAAGAUGACCUCAAAGCCACAACGUAUCACAGACAGAUAUCCAGGUCCACGCUGUAUUUGUGUUCACCUCCAUGUAAUUGUUGUAAUAUACAAUUUAGGACCAUAUCUUCAUUUUAUUUAUUCUAUUUAUGAAUUACUAUGAGUUAUAGCUGUCUGAAAUAUUACAUUUCUAAGUGAUUUGUUAUUUUGCCAAACCAAAUUGUACGAUCUAAGCACAAUCAGUGUUAUUGAUUAGUUGAUCAAUACUUGUACAUCCCUAUUGACACUUGGAAAGAUUUUUCCUUCUUUCAUGACUGACAAGUCAGUGUGUAUGAUAUCGAGUCAGUGUAUAAGGACAUGUGUUCGUAAGGACAUGCAUGCAUCAGUGGAAUUGUUUUAUUUUCCCUUUUUUACUUAGACUCUAUUUUAUCCCAAAAGUGGGUGUUUGGGACUGAUAUCUGGACGUUUUAAUCAAUUUAAUUGAUUCUGAUCUUUGUUGGUGUGUGUUUGUCUCUGUAAAAAGACAAAUAGAUUUUUGCUCUCAAAAUUGUCGUUAUUUUAAAAUAUUUCAAAUUCCGUCAACAGAAUUGUCAAUAGGAAUAAUUGCUACGACAGAAAUAGAUUCAACAGAUUUAUUAUGGAACCAGAAGAAGUGUAAGAAGAGAAGUUCAGGCUUCUCUGCUCCUCUUGAUGAUUGGUUGUAAAUGCCUGUGAAUGAGGUGAAGGUAUUGGUAUUAUUAAAUGCCUGUGAAUGAGGUGAAGGUAUUGGUAUUAUUAAAUGCCUGUGAAUGAGGUGAAGGUGUUGGUAUUAUUAAAUGCCUGUGAAUGAGGUGAAGGUGUUGGUAUUAUUAAAUGCAUGUGAAUGAGGUGAAGGUAUUGGUAUUAUUAAAUGCCUGUGAAUGAGGUGAAGGUAUUGGUAUUAUUAAAUGCCUGUGAAUGAGGUGAAGGUAUUGGUAUUAUUAAAUGCCUGUGAAUGAGGUGAAGGUAUUGGUAUUAUUAAAUGCCUGUGAAUGAGGUGAAGGUAUUGGUAUUAUUAAAUGCCUGUGAAUGAGGUGAAGGUAUUGGUAUUAUUAAAUGCCCGUGAAUGAGGUGAAGGUAUUGGUAUUAUUAAAUGCCCGUGAAUGAGG
Oncorhynchus gorbuscha (pink salmon) is the source of this 3223-nucleotide long non-coding RNA. RefSeq lists it as uncharacterized. The transcript is spliced from 2 exons. NCBI's taxonomy places the organism in Eukaryota, Metazoa, Chordata, Actinopteri, Salmoniformes, Salmonidae. The record is from RefSeq and is a predicted model, not a curated record.